Molecule: non-coding RNA, 1194 nt
Organism: Nelumbo nucifera (sacred lotus)
Lineage: Eukaryota; Viridiplantae; Streptophyta; Magnoliopsida; Proteales; Nelumbonaceae
Source: RefSeq, a predicted model, not a curated record
UGGCCGUUUCAAACCGGGUGGGGGUUGGCUGCCCCUGACCCUAGUGUUACGCUAGAUAGGGAGACGGCGAAGGGCCUUCGGGAGUGGGCCCGUCUCGGGCUAAAAUGCCACCACUAUUUGACGGAGGCCAAGCUCAUCUAGGCCGACCUGAGUUCGGGUAGGUUCCUCGGGCAUACUACCUGUUUUUUUUUUUGAUGCUGAGCUCUCUCUUGCUUUUUGCAGGUGCGAUGGACUCAAAAAAGACUCGCGGUGGGAACCUGUUUCAUGCUAUGAAGAGGAUGAAGCGAGUUGCCAAGCGGACUCGUGCCGAACUGCCCCGAGAUGCGGAGCCCAAGGUGGCCCCUCUAGUACAAAAAGCGGCAGGGGCCCCUUACGCCGAGGCUACUUAUACGGGGGCACCUCACACCGAGGUCGCUUAUACCCGGGCUAGGCCUUCAGGCUUGGGAGGCCGAUGCCAGCUCAGGAGCGUGCUGUCACUGAACCAAGCUCUCCAAAAAAGUAAGGAGGCCUGUUACCUUGAGGAGGUCGCGGCAUGGGCCGGGCUUCCUUUGAACCAUGUGGCCGGGCGUGCUGCUUCUUACGCUAUGGUGGUGAACUCCUCCAUCCAUGCCUUAGCGGCCCAAGCGGAAAGAAGCUCGAGGCGGGCGCGAGCUACCGAAGAGGCUUACCGAGUUGCCGAAGCGGCUUCUCACGCUGCACAGGCCAGGCUGGUGAGGUCUUAGAGAGACAUCGAGGCCAUGGGAGUGGUGGUGAAGCACAUGGCGGACCUGAGGCUGGACUUGCAGCGUUAGGUCGAAUACCUUCAGGAGGACAUUCGGGAGAGGACCGAGAUCUUUUCUCAGGGCAUCGAGGAUGCCAAGAAGAAGGUCGUCGAAGACUAUAUCGCCUCGCCGCGCUUUGACGACCUGAUGGUGGGCUCGUACAGAAGGGGUUUUAAAUUGAGCCGGUGAAUGAUCCGGAAUACGUACCCCGAGCUCGAUAUUAGCACCAUAACCACUUCGCGCAUUACUCAGGAGAUGGCCAACGCUGCUGACGGUGAACCGGACUCUGAGGAUGAGGCAGGACCUUCGGGUAUCGUUGAAGUGCCUUCCGAUGGUGAAGAAGUACCUCCAGGCCUGUGAGCUCGCUUCUGUUGUUUUUUUUUUUGGAAUGUAAACGAAGUAUCUCGCAAUGGAAUGUUCUUCUUUUGGUUAA